This 432-nucleotide ribosomal RNA is filed under the name Candidozyma auris. RNAcentral's name for it is "eukaryotic LSU rRNA". It matches the Rfam family "Eukaryotic large subunit ribosomal RNA", at positions 100 to 541 of the family's 3401-position model. The record is from RNAcentral. Lineage: Eukaryota; Fungi; Ascomycota; Pichiomycetes; Serinales; Metschnikowiaceae.
GGCAAGAGCUCAACUUUGGAAUCGCUCCGGCGAGUUGUAGUCUGGAGGUGGCCACCACGAGGUGUUCUAGCAGCAGGCAAGUCCUUUGGAACAAGGCGCCAGCGAGGGUGACAGCCCCGUACCUGCUUUUGCUAGUGCUUCCUGUGGCCCACCGACGAGUCGAGUUGUUUGGGAAUGCAGCUCUAAGUGGGUGGUAAAUUCCAUCUAAGGCUAAAUAUUGGCGAGAGACCGAUAGCGAACAAGUACAGUGAUGGAAAGAUGAAAAGCACUUUGAAAAGAGAGUGAAACAGUACGUGAAAUUGUUGAAAGGGAAGGGCUUGCACCCAGACACGGUUUCGGCCGGGCCAGCAUCAAGUAGAACGGGGUUAAAAGACUUGGGGAAUGUAGCUACUUCGGUAGUGUUAUAGCCCUUGGUGAUGACCCCUGUUUUGC